Jaculus jaculus (lesser Egyptian jerboa) is the source of this 110-nucleotide small nuclear RNA. Lineage: Eukaryota; Metazoa; Chordata; Mammalia; Rodentia; Dipodidae. The record is from Ensembl.
GUGCUCCCUUCAGUAGCACACAUACUAAAAUUGGAACGAUAUAGAUAUAGAGAUUAGCUUGGCCCCUGCACAAGGAUGACAUGCAAAUCAGUGAAGCGUUCCAUAUUUUU